Molecule: long non-coding RNA, 3258 nt
Filed under: Homo sapiens (human)
Lineage: Eukaryota; Metazoa; Chordata; Mammalia; Primates; Hominidae
Description: HSALNT0301355
Source: RNAcentral
GUUCCCCGGCUUUGCCGCGCGGAGGAAGUCCCGGUUACGCAGAGCGCGCUGGGGCAGGGCUGACCUUCCCCUUUCUCUACUUCACUGGCCUCCUCCAGACGUGGUGGUUGCGCCCUUUCGGCCUCGCUUUCCGUUUUUUGGCUUCAUCCCCUAGAUCUGCAAACAGUUCCUCGUGUUUCUUCCGUUAGCCGGGAAACGCGAACUGCAGCGUUUGGGACCCGGGUUUGCGCGUGUGGAAAGCAAAAGGGGUUACUCUGCUGGAGUUCGACAUUGCAAAUAAAGGUCUUUAUCCCCGGCGGUUCUACAAAAUUAGUUCUGCAGGGAUUCUGGUUGAAAGAAGCGUUAAAGUGGGCCUUGUAGGAGUCAGCAAUAAUCCAAUUUUACAUGGGUGCAGGUGGCUGCCUGUGUCUAGCGCUUUCACACAUCUCAUAUCUUCAUCCACGCCGUGGGUAUUUUUUUUCCACGGUGUGUUUCUGUUGCUGCCUCCAGUAUAUUGCUUAAUCAUCCUACCUGGUAAUUAUUUAUGCAUUUUUCUCCUACUCUCGACUCAGCUCCUAGGGAAUAAAAACACAUUAACUUAUCUUUGUGCCCACAGCACCCACCAAGUAUUUCCAUCACGUAAUACUGCCUCUAGAAAGGCAGGAGGAGAAGCAGUCACGCUAAGGAUCUAGGCAAGCCAGAUCUUUUGUCCGGUUUUAGGAGGUGGCCAGCCCUUACUUAUUCCACAAGUGUUUUUCCAGAAACUCAGACUUGAUAUUGCCUCAAGUCCAAGGCAGUGUGCUUCCCCCACUCACAUAUCACUAAUAGUAGCUAACAUUUGUUCAGAUCCCUGUAUGUACUCUGCCACUGUUUUAAAUGUUACACCCGGGUUACCUCAUUUAAUCCUUACAACUGCCCUGUGAGGUAGGUACUAUUAUUAUCUCUACUUUGUAGAUGGGAUUCACCGAGGCACAGACGGUUAAAAAACCUAGCCCAAAUAACACAAAUAAACAGCAGAGCAUGCAGUGCUAGAGUCUGCAUUCUUAACAAUUGCUAUAUUCUCCCUCUCCGUGAAUGUGGGCUGAGAUGCUGAAACAGGCAUGUGCUGUGGGGGAGAAAAAGCUUUGUCCAACCAAGUGCUUUCUAAUGUCCAGAUGACAUAGAGCUAGGAUUUCCUAAUGUCUUUUUUCCCCUAUUUUUCUCUCCAUUUCAGGGUUGAGUUUGUGCAUCGAUUGUGAACACAACAGGCAGCAGGCUAUAAUGGUGGUCCUGGCUGGAGUAGUUUUCACAGACUUCAGUAAUCUGUGGAGAUGAACGGGCAGUUCUCUGUAGUUUUCACAGAUCACUGCCAGUUCGUUUUGAGGCCUUCAGGAGUGAAGACCUGGCUCAUCAUCACUCUUUGUUGUUUUGUUAAAUUUAUUUACACCCUACUUUAUUCCAGAGGAAAGGAUUUAACGUAGUUUACAUAAAUGUGUACAUCAGGGUAAAUUAAAAAUAAGUACAGAGAAAAAUAGGACAAAAGAAAACCGUGAGUGUGAAAGAUAAGAUUAAGCCAGCAGUUUUGUAUGCAAAAUGCAUGGUGUAAGGUCCUAUUGGUUUGCUGGAGGUAGGCCACACAUAUGACUCUCAGUUUUCUAGCAACCAAGAAAAAGAUCAGUUGCAAUCGGAGUAGGUGUUUUGGCUAAGCUGGAACUAGGACUUGAAUAUAGCAGCUUGUAGAGUUAUACCACUUGCCCAAAUCUCUUCCAUGAGCCUCUUUAAGUGUAACAGAAUGCCUGGGAGCACGUAAAUGCUCCUACUUAGAUGCCUACUUAGCCUCUAAUUUUCAUGGGGCCCAUGAAUCCCAUGAAAAAGAACUUUGAACCCUGUCCACAAUUAGAGUUCAGGUAUACGCAGACAUGUUUAAAGACAAGGGACACCCAAAGGAAAGAUUGCACAGAGAGAAAGUGAGCAUCCGAGAGAAAAUCACCACAAGUGAGGCAGAGGGAGGCCGGUCUCAGCAGAGUUUUGGAGGUCGUGAGAAGAAGAGGUAGGAGAUAGGAGAGUGGUUCCGAGUACUUGCCUGCUGAUGUUACCUUCUCCACCCCCACCAGGUUUUCCAGUGCCUGGAGUCUUGGGCAGGAAUGGGCCACUGUAAGAAAGAGCUUUAUCACUAGGGCCUCAGCCAACUUUUCUGUGGGAUAUCCCUCCAAAAUAAUUAAGAGUUCAGAAUGCUUCAGAUUUUGAAGUGAAACUGGUACAUAUAUUAAGUGUUACUUAAUAACCCGAUAGUUUCUAGGGCAGCUCACCAUAAUCCCAAGUAUUAGCCACCACCCUCACCCCCUUCAGAGUAAAAUGUGUUUCCUGAAGGAAGUUGGGAAAAUGAAGAAAAAAAAUACAAAAAUCACCUAUAAUCUUACCAGUCAUAGAUGGCAGUUUUCCUGUCUUAUUUCUGAAUAAUGGUUGUUAAACAUUUGCCAGCACACCAUAAGGCUUAGGGAGGCAUCUGGGUCAUGCAUGUUAAUAUCCUUGGGUAAUUCCAGAAAUCUCUAUGAAGGGAAACUCCUGUUAUUUAUCUAGACUUCCUGAUUGCAAGGGGUUUGGGCAUCAUGAUUUAGGGGUCUUAAUAAAAUUAUUAUUUUAUUUUUACUAAUAGAUAAUGUCUGUGCCUAUCAGAUAAAGGCAAACCAGUGCUCAGAGGAACCCAACCAUCUCUGAAUUGAGACCAGAGAGCUGUCUCUAUGGAUAGUCCUUAGAGAAGGCAUUUCGGAACACAGUAAACAGCAGCCUGGUGACUCCGAUUACAGGGCCAGUUGCCUUUGUUACAAUAAAAGCAAGUCAUCUACACAGACAAACUGCGGCCUGGACCAGCUGGUGAAACAUAAUUCUGAAUCCUGCCCACAGCCUUCGGUGGUUUUGGAUGAAAGGCCAGCGCCUUGGGAGCCCUGCGUUUGAUUUCAAGUUUUAAGGCCGGCACUGGUGGAGCAAUGAAUGGUGAAAGCUCUCCCCUUAAAGGAGCACAGUUGCCUUUAGGUGACUGCUAACUCAGGCUUUUGCUGAGGACAGUGUUUACUUUGUGAGCUUAAUGACAGGGCUGGCUUUCUGGGAGUGUUGCAAUGAAACAGACUCAGACACAGGCCAUCAUGGGCCUCCUCCCUAGCAAGGCCGCCACGGCUGGCAUCUCAAGAGCAGUCCGUUGAACUUGGGAUUUGGGUGUGAGACACAGUUUCAUCAGAAGAAUUUAAACCAAAGUCUACAUUUGCCCUCUAGAUAAAUGUGUGUGUUCAGCAGCAACCACAA